RNAcentral lists this long non-coding RNA (225 nucleotides) under Capsicum annuum. RNAcentral describes it as "long non-coding RNA (CANN_LNC008859)". Lineage: Eukaryota; Viridiplantae; Streptophyta; Magnoliopsida; Solanales; Solanaceae. The record is from RNAcentral.
UAAAUUUGAUCCUAAAGUGUGACAUCGAGGAUAAUUUUGAACUUAACUGAACAAAAGCAGAGUUUGUAGUAGACAUUUUCUCUAGUUCCAUACUUUUGCGUUAUUCUUUUUUUAAUUUUUUUUUAUUUGUAAACAACCUUUCAGUGUUGCAGUUGAAAAAGAAGCAUAUUUGUUCGUUGAAAAAAAUGGACAAACAAAACUGAGAGAGGAAUAUAUUUGUGUGUG